CUUGACCGUCAUAACCAUUGUGGAGCAUAUGUUGUGAGAAAUGAGGUGCGCGGUCAACGUUUGUGUACAACUUUGGACAAGCCUCGCUAAUCGAUUCAAUCUGUUGCAUGCAUUUUGUGUUACCUUUUCCACACAUUGAAUAACAGGUGAAACUAUUAUUCAGGUCUGUAGUUAUCUUGAUAUGCGCCUCAUAAACAGAAGCAGUCUGUUAUCGGGCCUGUUAUGUUUUUUAAUAGUAGGAUGCUGUCUUAUCUGGCUGAAGCAUAUGCUUAACUGGGAUCCUCCGGCUUUCGGUACUCAAAGCAAUUUAUUCAAUAAUAUUUAUUCGGGCAGCUUGGAAACAAAUACUUCGGCUGGAAAUCUUGUGGGGUCGAUCAAAAACGCCAUGGCAAGGCGGCCUCUCAACUAUAGUUACAAGGAAAGACAAGACGUUCGAAGUAUACAUGCGCAGUACAACAUCCACCCGGAAUCGUGUGCUGGAAUUGCUGGCUCGAUUUUUAUGUUAAUUGCAGUUGCCAGUGGCGCAAAAAACUUCGAGAAGAGGAGAGCCAUUCGCGAAACGUGGGGACAACAUGGGACGGUUACUUGUGGCGUAAAAUUUUUUUUUCUACUCGGGAAAGUGUACAAUGUAACGUUACAGCAGUUGAUAGCCUACGAAGCCCGCCAGCAUGGCGAUGUUUUGCAAUCGAACGUGUUCGAGGAUUCUCCCCUGUCAUCGCCCCAAAGGAUGUACCAUCUGUUUCAAUGGGCAAAUACUUUCUGCACAGACGUUUCUUUAGUAGCAAGGUCGGAUGACGACUGUUUUAUUAGCAUUCCAAACGUUAUGGCAUACUUUCGAAAAGAGAAUACCCGCAGGAUGAAAGGUUUCUAUGGUUGGACGCACCACGGUGGGGUACUCGGACACAGAAAUCCCAAUAGUAAAUACUACACAUCCCGGGAAGACUUUCCGGGCGAUACCGUGCCUGAUUUUGUUGUGGGGUAUUUCAUUGUUGUAACCGCAGAUGCUAUACCAACCCUUCUAAACGCGAGCCGUUAUGAGAGCCGGUUCACCGUUGAUGAUAUUUUGUUCGGAAUGAUGUCACAAUCCCUAGACCUUUCACGUGGACAUUUGCCUAAAGUGUGCAUAAACUACUUCCAAUCAAAUAGCCAGUGCCCGAAAAAGGAAUAUACAGUUAUCCAUUACGUUGAAAGCCACCAAAUGUACGUCUUAUGGAAUGAUCCUUGUUCUCCAAAUACCAUUGCUUGUGAAGUUUGACGUAAGCGUAUUAAAAGCGGCCGUAAUGCCACCGAACAGAAACCAAUCUGCUGACCACGAAGACGAACCCCAAUAGCGAUCCAAAUCAAAAUCGUGUUUGUAGUGGUAUUCGGCCUGCUUUUUAGUAUUCGGCCGCUAGCGGCGGAAGUACGAAAAGCGGGGAACGUAACUGCCCUCGAAGCAGUUUUACCACUUGCCACAAAUGUCGAAAUCACCACAACUAUCUGUCGAAUUACAGUUUCAAAAAAAGCUUGACUUUGUCAUUUUGAACAUUUAUGAUUCAAAUUCGCUUUAGUUUAUUUAAAAAUGAAACUGGCCACGUUAAUGAAGUUGUAUGUCCGAAAAAAUACUUCUCAACUGCUGUUUUUAAUUCUGCGACGUAAGAUACUUCGACGGAGACGAAAAACAUAUUUUCAUGACGAAUGGCGCGCAGCAUCAUUUAGCUUGAAUGCUUUAAGCGAGGAGUGUUGGGAUUUUUUCCGCUUUAAGAAGCAUGAUCUUCCUAUGUUGGCGGCGGCGCUUAAAUUCCGGAUUUGGUGUGGACUGCAGAAGGAGACUGUGUGAAUGCUGUGGAGGUCUUAUGAAUUUUGUUGCGCCGUCUGUAUUAUCCAAACCGAUCGACUGAACUGCGUAAAUUUUGUAAAAUUUUUAGUCGUUCCCAAGGUUCCAUGUGGAGAAUUUUCUACGCGGUCUUGUCGAUACUGGAUCGCUUAUGGUCGAAGCAUCUUUCCCGCCUGGAUCAUCCCUGGUUGUCAGAAGAAGAUCUUUCGGGGUACGCUUCGGCUAUCUCACAGAAAUGGGGUGUUUUCCCAGAUGUUUUUGCCUUUAUCGACGGGACGGCGCGUCCCAUUUGCCGAUCAACAUAUAACCAGAAGAUCAUGGACAGCGGCCAUAAACGUGUCCACUGCAUUAAUUGGCAGUCCAUUCUACUACCAAACGGAUUGAUUUGCUACCUGUACGGCGGUGAACCUGGUAGUGUCCAUGACAGUCGGGUGUUUCAAGAGAGUGAAAUGCUCUGGCGAUUGAAAACUAUGCAGAGCACCUUUUGCCGGAAAUUCUCGCUAUAUGGAGAUUCUGGUUAUGGAAUGAACGAAUAUUUAAGGAAGCCUUACUCAAAACUUCAGACAGCGUACAACCGCGCAAAAGACACCAGAACGAUGCCAUGAAAUCUGUGGAAUGGGGGUUCAAGGAAGUGGUUGUUAAAUUCGCUUUUGUGGACUUCAAAAAACAGAUGAAGUUAUUUGAGAAACCCGUCAACAAAAUUUUUCGUACGGCUGUUUUUUUCACAAAUUGUUGCAAUUGUUUGUACCCUAACCAAGUAAGUCAGUAGUUUAAUGUUGAACCACCAACACUGGAAGAAUAUCUGUGCUAAACAUCGGGAAUAAAUU
Molecule: RNA transcript, 2643 nt
Organism: Paramacrobiotus metropolitanus
Lineage: Eukaryota; Metazoa; Tardigrada; Eutardigrada; Parachela; Macrobiotidae
Exons: 2
Source: RefSeq, a predicted model, not a curated record